RNAcentral lists this long non-coding RNA (1540 nucleotides) under Monodelphis domestica (gray short-tailed opossum). RNAcentral's name for it is "lncRNA (ENSMODG00000051583.1)". Lineage: Eukaryota; Metazoa; Chordata; Mammalia; Didelphimorphia; Didelphidae. The record is from RNAcentral.
ACUCACUCUUAUUCUGUUGAUUAUUCUGUCCACAUCUACAGUUGUCUGCAAGUCGUCUCAUCCUUUAGAUUAUAAUUUCCCGGAUGUCAGAAACUGUCUCCUGCUUUCUUUGCACAUACAAUGCUUAGCACAGCGCCCAGCACAUAAUACAUAUGUACUACUAAAUACUCACUGGCUCUCUCUCUGUAGGGGAAAUGCAGAGGAUGGAACUCUCCUAUGUUCUACCCCUCUGUUUGUUGAGGGACUCUGGGUGAGAAGGAGGAGGAGUUAGUCCCUCGAGUAAUUAAGGGUCAGGAUCUGCCAAUGAAAUGUUCUGUCUCCGUUUCUUUCCUUUCAGGGGAGGACACCACCCUUUAUGAGAAUACAGCUUGCCUAAAAGGCUCAGCAAUUCUUGCACAGGGCCAGAGAUCCUCCCCUACUUCGCCUGAAGUACUGUCUGAGAGUCUCUAUGAGGCAUUGGACAUCACAGCAGAAGAUGGUUAUGAAAAGAUCAUUCCCUCAAAGAAUCCACAAGAUGAACGAAAAAGAAAAAGUUACUAGGGAUUUUAUGACUGUCCUUUUGCUUCUUUUCAUUAAGGAGGGAUCAGAGGCAUUUCUCAGGGGAGAGAUCUGAGAGAUUUAGGGCAAUGGGAAAAGCAAUUAGGAGAGGAGAAAAUGGCUGGAUUUGGAGGAAGGGAAGGCUUUCAGGAACCCAGGAACAUGCUGACUUCCCAGAAAAGACUGAGAGGCAUGAAAGAACUAGAUGAACGGGUUAGAAGCCAAGCUAUCUUGUGGGAUUCGUUUGGCUGCACACUCUGUUGCACUUCAUGGGCUUCAGCAUUUUGAAUGCUUUCAUGUUUUCUGGCCUUCUUUAUCUCCCUUAUCUAAAUUAAAGUCCUUUUAGAAAGUGCCAGGCUUAUUACUACUGAACUAAGAUGCAGGAGAUCCACCAUUCCUGAUAGUCCUGAGAUGUUGAAAUUCUCAGCUAAGAGCCCAUCCUCUUAUGCACCUAAGAUUUCAAGUAACCAGGAGCCUUUGCUUUAGAUAAUGUAAUCUGGAAGAUGGAUGGAAUCAUCUGGGCUUCCCAGAAGCAGAAUGUGGUCGAUAUUCCUAUAACGGACAAACAAAACUAGUAAUUCCAAUACAACAGCAGCUGCAAGAACAAACCACUUAUGGGAGAAAGAAAUGCCAGCCAUGGGCUCUAAUGAUAGUGAUCCUUGGUGAUAUAGUGAACUACACCAAUGGAGAGCUUCACUCAGGGAGAAAAGGACUUCUAGUCAGGAGCUAGUUUCCUCCCAUUAGCUAUAGACCCCUUACUAUCCUUAAGUUUGCACUCACUUUUUCAGGAAUCUUGUAUUUAUAGGCGAAUGAACCCCAUUUGUUGUUGUUUUUUGUUUUGUGGCUCGGGAAUAUGUUUUAGACCCAAUUUUCAUACUAUUUCUUUUUAGUAAAUACCUUUGCUCCCAAUAAUUGUCUUUCUGUCUGAUUGCUAAUGGGAAGACAACUGGUGGGGAGUUCAUGAGAAACAGUGGUAGAAGCCCUUCAGUUAUCCUCCUGAGAG